Molecule: ribosomal RNA, 2633 nt
Organism: Plasmodiophora brassicae
Lineage: Eukaryota; Endomyxa; Phytomyxea; Plasmodiophorida; Plasmodiophoridae
Rfam family: Eukaryotic small subunit ribosomal RNA
Source: Rfam
UACCUGGUUGAUCCUGCCAGUAGUGAUAUGCUUGUUUCAAAGAUUAAGCCAUGCAUGUCUAAGUAUAAGCGAACUUAUACAGUGAAACUGCGGAUGGCUCAUUAAAACAGUUUGAAUUUAUUUGAUGGAUGUACGCGAGUACUACAUGGAUAUCCGUAGUAAUUCUAGAGCUAAUACAUGCAGGAACGCCCGACCCUCGCGGAAGGGCUGUAUUUAUUGGAUACAAAAACCAAACCUGGCAACAGGUUUCGUUUGUUGAUUCACAAUAACUGAUCGGACCGUUGCCUCGGCAGCGGCAGGUCAUUCAACAUUCUGCCCUAUCAGCUUUCGAUGGUUGUGUAGUGGACAACCAUGGCCGCAACGGGUAACGGAGAAUCGGGGUUCGAUUCCGGAGAGGGAGCUUGAGAAUUGGCUACCACAUCUAAGGAAGGCAGCAGGCGCGCAAAUUACCCAAUCCUGACUCAGGGAGGUAGUGACAAAAAAUAACAAUACCGGUUCUUGUUAGGACUGGUAAUUGGAAUGAGAACAAGUUAAACCUAUUAUCGAGGAUCCAUUGGAGGGCAAGUCUGGUGGACGAUUCGACAGUGUCUGUUUACUGUUGGCGCCAGAGAUAGUACGGCUUCUCUUUUAUUAAAGAAGUUAUGCGUGCUAGUCGAGCAGCCCAUUCUAGUUGUGGGUGGCUGCCGGCGAGGUAACCUGGUACGAGGAAGGCUAACGGAUUUUUGAUAAUCCUAUGCUAAUCUCGUGGCGAGCCUGUCCGAAGCGAUUCGGGCAUAGAGGCCGUCGUAACGCGCGGAAAGGUACCGGCGGGCUUCCACAGUCCGCUCAAGGAACGUGCUAAUCCCAUUCGAAAGAAUGCCGAUCGACUGGAGCGCCCACAACGCAAAGGACGAUCGGGGGUGUGUGUUUGAUGGAGGAAAUGCCAUCAGACGAGACCCGGUAUAUGUGGCCAGCAGCCGCGGUAAUACCAGCUCCAAUAGCGUAUAUUAAAGUUGUUGCAGUUAAAAAGCUCGUAGUUGGACUUGUGUGCCUGCGCGUGUUCAGCGGUCUGCGUUCAAAAGAGCGUUACGACAUGCGGCGCGCGGGCCGUACAAUCUUCAACUGGAUCGCGUCUGGUCUUGAUUGACUGGGCGCUGCCUAUUCGGUUGAUCGUUUACUGUGAGAAAAGUAGAGUGUUCAAGGCAGGCAUUAUUGCAAUUGAAUAUGUUAGCAUGGAAUAAUAAGAUAAGGCUUUCGUCUUAUUUUGUUGGUUUCUAGGGCGGAAGUAAUGAUUGAUAGGGAUAGUUGGGGGUGCUAGUAUUCAGCGGCCAGAGGUGAAAUUCAUGGAUUCGCUGAAGACUAACUUAUGCGAAAGCAUUCACCAAGGAUGUCCUCUUUAAUCAAGAACGAAAGUUGGGGGAUCGAAGACGAUCAGAUACCGUCGUAGUCUCAACCAUAAACUAUGUCGACUAGGGAUUGGCGGUCGUUUUUAUUGUAAGACUCCGUCAGCACCUUAUGAGAAAUCAAAGUGUUUGGACUCUUGGGGAAGUAUGGUCGCAAGGCUGAAACUUAAAGGAAUUGACGGAAGGGCACCACCAGGAGUGAACCAUGCGUGUUCUGCCCCGCCGCAGCAGCAUCCGCUCCGAAUAGCAGCUGGAAACAGUGAGGUGGGUCGGGUCCUUGUAAAACAAACCUGCUAGUGCCGACGGACGAGUUCGUCGACGCGACAUCGUCAAAUUGCGGGAACCUCCUAACGCUUCACCUACCAAGUGCUGCUACGCGUGUGCGCGAAAGCGCCAGCACGGCCGAGCUAAUCGCCCUGGGUAUGGUAACAACGGUGAAGAUAUAUCAUGGACGAUCCGCAGCCAAGUCCUACGUCGAAGUUCAUUCGAUAUGGAACGGGUUCAGAGACUAGAUGGCGGUGGGUCUGGCGCCUCGCGCGCCUGGCUUAAGAUAUAGUCCAAUCCGGUCAGCGAAAGCGCCGGCAACGAUAUUGGGAGCCUGCGGCUUAAUUUGACUCAACACGGGAAAACUUACCAGGUCCAGAGAUGUAGAGGAUUGACAGAUUGAAGCUCUUUCUUGAUCACUUCGGUGGUGGUGCAUGGCCGUUCUUAGUUGGUGGAGUGAUUUGUCUGGUUAAUUCCGUUAACGAACGAGACCUCAGCCUGCUUUUGUAGUUAUGCCUAUGCCUUCCCGGCCUAGGUCCGUGACUUCUUAGAGGGACUAUCGGUGUGGCAGCCGAUGGAAGUUUGAGGCAAUAACAGGUCUGUGAUGCCCUUAGAUGUUCUGGGCCGCACGCGCGCUACACUGCUGGGUUCAACGAGUCCGAACCGUACUUGGCUGAAAGGCCUGGUUAAUCUUUUGAAAUCCCAGCGUGCUUGGGCUUGCCUCUUGGAACUAGAGGCACCAACGAGGAAUUCCUAGUAGACGCAAGUCAUCAACUUGCAUCGAUUACGUCCCUGCCCUUUGUACACACCGCCCGUCGCUCCUACUGAUUGAGUGCUCCGGUGAAAUGUCGGGAGAUUGCUCCGCCGAUCAGCAAUGGUCGCGGAGUGGUCGAACUUCAUUAAAUUUGGGCUCUUAGAAGAAGGAGAAGUCGUAACAAGGUUUCCGUAGGCGUCGUCGUCGGCGCCGCCUACAGGAGCUGGUCCUUC